GACAGAGGGUGCAAACGUUGUCCGGAAUUAUUGGGCGUAAAGAGCUCGUAGGCGGCUUGUCACGUCGGGUGUGAAAGACCGGGGCUUAACUCCGGUUCUGCAUUCGAUACGGGCUAGCUAGAGUGUGGUAGGGGAGAUCGGAAUUCCUGGUGUAGCGGUGAAAUGCGCAGAUAUCAGGAGGAACACCGGUGGCGAAGGCGGUUCUCUGGGCCUUACCUGACGCUGAGGAGCGAAAGCGUGGGGAGCAAACAGG
Molecule: ribosomal RNA, 253 nt
Filed under: uncultured bacterium
Lineage: Bacteria
Description: partial 16S ribosomal RNA
Rfam family: Bacterial small subunit ribosomal RNA
Source: RNAcentral